ACACGAGUGGCGAACGGGUGAGUAACACGUGGGUGAUCUGCCCUGCACUCUGGGAUAAGCCUGGGAAACUGGGUCUAAUACCGGAUAUGAGCUCCUGUCGCAUGGCGGGGGUUGGAAAGGUUUACUGGUGCAGGAUGGGCCCGCGGCCUAUCAGCUUGUUGGUGGGGUAAUGGCCUACCAAGGCGACGACGGGUAGCCGGCCUGAGAGGGCGACCGGCCACACUGGGACUGAGACACGGCCCAGACUCCUACGGGAGGCAGCAGUGGGGAAUAUUGCACAAUGGGCGAAAGCCUGAUGCAGCGACGCCGCGUGAGGGAUGACGGCCUUCGGGUUGUAAACCUCUUUCAGCAGGGACGAAGCGAGAGUGACGGUACCUGCAGAAGAAGCACCGGCCAACUACGUGCCAGCAGCCGCGGUAAUACGUAGGGUGCGAGCGUUGUCCGGAAUUACUGGGCGUAAAGAGCUCGUAGGCGGUUUGUCGCGUCGUCCGUGAAAACUUGGGGCUCAACCCCAAGCUUGCGGGCGAUACGGGCAGACUUGAGUACUGCAGGGGAGACUGGAAUUCCUGGU
This 571-nucleotide ribosomal RNA is filed under the name Rhodococcus sp. CH64. RNAcentral's name for it is "bacterial SSU rRNA". It matches the Rfam family "Bacterial small subunit ribosomal RNA", at positions 89 to 674 of the family's 1533-position model. Lineage: Bacteria; Bacillati; Actinomycetota; Actinomycetes; Mycobacteriales; Nocardiaceae. The record is from RNAcentral.